GCUAACUUCACCUAAAAAAAAAAAAGUUAUGUGAGGAUGCUUGUAAAGAGUUUCAAAGGAAGUAAAAUGGAAUAAACCUACACUGUGGUCAAUCCCUUAGGGUAGAAGCUAAACUGACAAAACUGGAGACAACCCAAAAAUCCACUAGUAGGCACUGGCUGAAUAAAGUGUGGCUCAUUUACAUAAUGGAAGAAUACACAGCUCUACCAUGAAAUAAGGAAAAACUACGUAAACUACUAUCAAAUCUUCAGGAUACAAAAUAAUCUGAAAAAACAAGCAAAGAAAAUGUAUACUGUUUGGUGUUAUUUAUCUACAUAAAUGGUUGGGUUCUGAUCUCCUAAGACUGGCGUCACUACAAGAAGAGACACCGGAGAGCUCUCUUUCUCUCCAUCUCUUUUCCUCUCUCUUGCAAGCACUCCCGCCAGCUGCCCACAAUAUGAGGACAGUGAGAAGACUGUCACCUGCAAGCCAUGAAGCGAGUCCUCACCAGAAAUGGAGCCUGUCAGACCUUGGUCUGAGACUUCUAGCCUCUGGAACUUUCUGAAAAUAAACUUCUGUUGUUUAAACCAUCCACUGUAUGGUAUUUUCCCACGGCAGGUUGAGGUAAUACAGAGCUUUACUGUCAUCCUCAGAAGCAUCAACUGGAUUUGUAUACAUUAUGAUGAAAAAGACCUGAAAAUUUCACACAGAUUAAAUGCUUUCACUUAUUUCUCAGUUUUAUACUAGUGCUUUCUUUAGACUCUUCAAAUUGCAUGUCCUUCCUUAUGUUCCCUGGGCAUUGACUUAUUAGUUCCUGGGUAAAAUUUAACAAAGGCUAUGCCACAGGUCUAGGAUUAGUCAUUUUCACAAUCUUGGAUUUCUCAAUAACUAUGACUACAUUCCCCUUAAAUAUGAGUUCCUUAGAAAAUCUGUUUUUAUUAUUUGGACAUAGUGCCUGGUGAUAAUAGACAGCCUAUGCUUUUUUGUCUUUCCCCUGAACUAGAAUUCAAAUGAAGGAUAUGCUAAACACAGCUGUUGCUGUGUAUAAUGACAUUCAGUAUGUGGAUGCUGCAUCCAGAUUCCAUUUUAAGGCAGCCAUCUGUCCUUUAGCAAGCAAAAUAACAGAAGAUUUAUACCUUAAUAAAAUCACACACAUAAGUGCACCCCACACUCCUUCAUGUGCCCUCCAUGUAAUUUCACAUUUGUUAGUGAAUUUUCUGUAGUAUUUUUCUAGCUUUAAGACUAUUUGAGGUGAAGUUCUGGACCUGCUAAGCCUGAGCACAAGGGUUUUAGCAUAAUAUAUUUGGACUCAUGAUUUUCAGUAAAUCUUCAUAGAUUGACAUGAAUGUCAUGAAAUUUAAAAGAUUAAGAAACAUUCCUU
Molecule: long non-coding RNA, 1360 nt
Filed under: Homo sapiens (human)
Lineage: Eukaryota; Metazoa; Chordata; Mammalia; Primates; Hominidae
Description: HSALNT0337480
Source: RNAcentral